This 342-nucleotide ribosomal RNA is filed under the name uncultured bacterium. Its description in RNAcentral is "bacterial SSU rRNA". It matches the Rfam family "Bacterial small subunit ribosomal RNA", at positions 335 to 661 of the family's 1533-position model. The record is from RNAcentral.
ACUCCUACGGGAGGCAGCAGUGGGGAAUAUUGGACAAUGGGGGGAACCCUGAUCCAGCCAUGCCGCGUGUGUGAAGAAGGCCUUAUGGUUGUAAAGCACUUUAAGCGAGGAGGAGGCUACUAGGUAUUAAUCUAACUACCUGGAUUCGGUGGACGUUACUCGCAGAAUAAGCACCGGCUAACUCUGUGCCAGCAGCCGCGGUAAUACAGAGGGUGCGAGCGUUAAUCGGAUUUACUGGGCGUAAAGCGUGCGUAGGCGGCCAUUUAAGUCAAAUGUGAAAUCCCCGAGCUUAACUUGGGAAUUGCAUUCGAUACUGGAUGGCUAGAGUAUGGGAGAGGAUGG